This 959-nucleotide ribosomal RNA is filed under the name Klebsiella pneumoniae subsp. pneumoniae. RNAcentral's name for it is "partial 23S ribosomal RNA". It matches the Rfam family "Bacterial large subunit ribosomal RNA", at positions 419 to 1380 of the family's 2925-position model. Lineage: Bacteria; Pseudomonadati; Pseudomonadota; Gammaproteobacteria; Enterobacterales; Enterobacteriaceae. The record is from RNAcentral.
GGGACACGUGGUAUCCUGUCUGAAUAUGGGGGGACCAUCCUCCAAGGCUAAAUACUCCUGACUGACCGAUAGUGAACCAGUACCGUGAGGGAAAGGCGAAAAGAACCCCGGCGAGGGGAGUGAAAAAGAACCUGAAACCGUGUACGUACAAGCAGUGGGAGCACCUUCGGGUGUGACUGCGUACCUUUUGUAUAAUGGGUCAGCGACUUAUAUUCUGUAGCAAGGUUAACCGUAUAGGGGAGCCGCAGGGAAACCGAGUCUUAACUGGGCGUUAAGUUGCAGGGUAUAGACCCGAAACCCGGUGAUCUAGCCAUGGGCAGGUUGAAGGUUGGGUAACACUAACUGGAGGACCGAACCGACUAAUGUUGAAAAAUUAGCGGAUGACUUGUGGCUGGGGGUGAAAGGCCAAUCAAACCGGGAGAUAGCUGGUUCUCCCCGAAAGCUAUUUAGGUAGCGCCUCGUGAAUUCAUCUUCGGGGGUAGAGCACUGUUUCGGCUAGGGGGUCAUCCCGACUUACCAACCCGAUGCAAACUACGAAUACCGAAGAAUGUUAUCACGGGAGACACACGGCGGGUGCUAACGUCCGUCGUGAAGAGGGAAACAACCCAGACCGCCAGCUAAGGUCCCAAAGUCAUGGUUAAGUGGGAAACGAUGUGGGAAGGCACAGACAGCCAGGAUGUUGGCUUAGAAGCAGCCAUCAUUUAAAGAAAGCGUAAUAGCUCACUGGUCGAGUCGGCCUGCGCGGAAGAUGUAACGGGGCUAAACCAUGCACCGAAGCUGCGGCAGCGACACUAUGUGUUGUUGGGUAGGGGAGCGUUCUGUAAGCCUGCGAAGGUGUGCUGUGAGGCAUGCUGGAGGUAUCAGAAGUGCGAAUGCUGACAUAAGUAACGAUAAAGCGGGUGAAAAGCCCGCUCGCCGGAAGACCAAGGGUUCCUGUCCAACGUUAAUCGGGGCAGGGU